GUGAUGGGGUUUAUUUGGUUGUGUACACAUACAUUAUACCGGAUACCUGCCUGCCAUAUUUAAUUAGGUCACGUGAUGCGAGCGCGGAAAGGUGAAAAAA
Long non-coding RNA from Haliotis rubra (blacklip abalone), 100 nucleotides. RefSeq lists it as uncharacterized. The record is from RefSeq and is a predicted model, not a curated record. Lineage: Eukaryota; Metazoa; Mollusca; Gastropoda; Lepetellida; Haliotidae. The transcript is spliced from 3 exons.